AAAGUUCAAAUACAUUUUGUUAACAUUUUGAAAACAUUUAAUCCUUUAAAAGUGACAUUGGGGGGUUGUCAGAAAAAAUCUUUAAAAAAAAACAUAUAAUAAGAAUGAAUUAUAACAAAAAUUAGAUGACAAAAGGACUUUAAGCACACAUGUAGACAACCUCUGCACGUCCAUCACACACAUUGUGUUUUACACAAACUCUCACCUAAAUUGAUACACAACAGUAAACUCAAAUGAAAUAAUGAUACCAUAAUUAUAAAUCAUGACCUGACUCCAUAGGAUGAGAGAUCUUCAUCAACUCAUUUUUUAAUCUUCUGGAUAGUCUAUAACCUAUGGAGCUAUUGAAAAACAGGACAUCAUUGUUUAUCUCAGUUUUUAGAAAUGAUUUAUGCAUAUCCAUACUUCAUCUUAAAAAAGAAAAAUGCUUGCUUUCAGAAGACCUCAUGUAGCUGUAGCAUCUAUGAACAUAUUUUAGCAUGAUAAAGAUGAUAGUGAGCUUGAAUUGAAAAAAGUGCAUGAAAAAAAAAAAAAGACGGUGAAAACAACUAACAAUUUCAUCUUGUUUUUAGAAUGGUUUAUAUUUAUGUGCAUAUCUUUUACAAUUUGGGAAGAUGCAUCAGUGUGGAGAAAAUUAAAGCUUAAAAGACCUUCAGUUUUCUCCCAACACUGCCAACUAUUCCUUAUAAGGAAUAUUUGAACAAGACCACCAGGAAGACCUCAGAUAAAGACAGUUUCCUAGCCUUUAUGAACAACAGUGAAGACAACAAUGUUUAUAAACUGAGCAUAACAACUGAAUAGGGAAGAAGAGGUCUCAAUCCCAGUACCAACCAACCAAACAACCAUCUCUUGUAAACAGUGCAGUAAAAAUGUCUUUUGUCUAGUUUAUUUCUCUCUGAAUGACUAUGGUGGCUGUCGCCAUGAUUUCAACAGACAAAAUAUAAUUGUCAAGUAAGGUAAAAGUUUCAUAAAGACUAAAAAAAAUAUCUUUUUUUUUUAUAAAAAAAAAAAGGGGGGGGG
This is a non-coding RNA of Biomphalaria pfeifferi, 1017 nucleotides long. The record is from the annotation of a GenBank genome assembly. NCBI's taxonomy places the organism in Eukaryota, Metazoa, Mollusca, Gastropoda, Planorbidae.